Molecule: long non-coding RNA, 439 nt
Organism: Homalodisca vitripennis (glassy-winged sharpshooter)
Lineage: Eukaryota; Metazoa; Arthropoda; Insecta; Hemiptera; Cicadellidae
Exons: 3
Source: RefSeq, a predicted model, not a curated record
GUGAAGCACUUUAACUUCACAAUCACAAUUCCUAACCUUAGUUCGAUUAUCAUUAAGUUAACAUCAGUUUGGAAAUGAGUAUGUUUUAAUGUGCCAAAUUCUAAAUUUUUCGUUUGGUUUAACUGUUCACCAGUUAUUCACGAAUACCCCAUUUAGUUCAAUUGAUAGUUUAUGGUAUAACUAAAUAUAGAAAACCCACGUUUGAGAUUAAUACAGUUACAGAGUUUUAAAAUGUCCAAAAGAUCUUCAAGAUUGAUCACCAGAGCAGAAAAUGAAACAAUAAAUACAGUUGUUGUGAAAGCCAUAAAUGAUGAAGAUGUUGUAAAAGUAAUUGUAGGAACCAAUUUAACUUCAGUACCUGUUUUAUCCACACAAAAGUUGACUACAAAAAGAGGGAGACCGAGAAAGAAACUGACAGAAGAUGAAGUGAAGAGUGAAG